RNAcentral lists this small nuclear RNA (24 nucleotides) under Arabidopsis thaliana (thale cress). Its description in RNAcentral is "snRNA_12327". The record is from RNAcentral. Lineage: Eukaryota; Viridiplantae; Streptophyta; Magnoliopsida; Brassicales; Brassicaceae.
GCGAGGAUUUGUUGCGGAGGAGGA